ACAUGCAAGUCGAACGAAGUCUUCGGACUUAGUGGCGGACGGGUGAGUAACGCGUGGGAAUCUGCCUUCAGGAGGGGGAUAACAGAGGGAAACCUUUGCUAAUACCCCAUAUGCCUAUGGGUGAAAUGAAUUUCGCCUGAAGAUGAGCCCGCGUCUGAUUAGCUAGUUGGUGGGGUAAAGGCCUACCAAGGCGACGAUCAGUAGCUGGUCUGAGAGGAUGAUCAGCCACACUGGGACUGAGACACGGCCCAGACUCCUACGGGAGGCAGCAGUGGGGAAUUUUCCGCAAUGGGCGAAAGCCUGACGGAGCAACGCCGCGUGAGCGAUGAAGGCCCUUGGGUCGUAAAGCUCUUUUGUCAGGGACGAUAAUGACGGUACCUGAUGAAUAAGCAUCGGCUAACUCUGUGCCAGCAGCCGCGGUAAUACAGAGGAUGCAAGCGUUAUCCGGAAUUAUUGGGCGUAAAGCGUACGUAGGUGGCGAUUCAAGUCUGUGGUUAAAGCCUGCAGCUCAACUGCAGAAAGGCCAUGGAAACUGAAACGCUAGAGUGCGAUAGAGGUAAGGGGAAUUCCCGGUGUAGCGGUGAAAUGUGGAGAUAUCGGGAAGAACACCAGCGGCGAAAGCGCCUUACUGGGUCGCAACUGACACUGAGGUACGAAAGCCAGGGGAGCAAAUGGGAUUAGAUACCCCAGUAGUCCUGGCCGUAAACGAUGGACACUAGGUGUUGCGCGUAUCGACCCGUGCAGUGCCGUAGCUAACGCGUUAAGUGUCCCGCCUGGGGAGUACGCACGCAAGUGUGAAACUCAAAGGAAUUGACGGGGGCCCGCACAAGCGGUGGAGCAUGUGGUUUAAUUCGAUGCAACGCGAGAACCUUACCAGGGCUUGACAUACCGUGAAUUCUGGGGAAACUCGGAAGUGCCUUCGGGAACAUGGAUACAGGUGCUGCAUGGCUGUCGUCAGCUCGUGUCGUGAGAUGUUGGGUUAAGUCCCGCAACGAGCGCAACCCUCGUUUUCAGUUGCCAUCAUUAAGUUGGGCACUCUGGAGAGACUGCCGGUGACAAACCGGAGGAAGGUGGGGAUGACGUCAAGUCAGCAUGGCUCUUACGUCCUGGGCUACACACGUGCUACAAUGGGUCGGAUAAAGGGUAGCAAUCUCGCGAGAGGGAGCCAAUCCCAAAAACCGCCUCUCAGUUCGGAUUGUAGGCUGCAACUCGCCUACAUGAAGUCGGAAUCGCUAGUAAUCGCAGGUCAGCAUACUGCGGUGAAUACGUUCCCGGGCCUUGUACACACCGCCCGUCACACCAUGGAAGCUGGUCAUGCCCGAAGUCUGUAUUCUAACC
Molecule: ribosomal RNA, 1338 nt
Filed under: uncultured bacterium
Lineage: Bacteria
Description: bacterial SSU rRNA
Rfam family: Bacterial small subunit ribosomal RNA
Source: RNAcentral